GUGGGGAAUUUUGGGCAAUGGGCGAAAGCCUGACCCAGCAACGCCGCGUGCAGGAUGAAGGCCCUCGGGUCGUAAACUGCUGUCGGGAGGGAAGAAAAGCAGCGGAAGGAAAUGGCCGCUGCCUGACGGUACCUCCAAAGGAAGCGCCGGCUAACUCCGUGCCAGCAGCCGCGGUAAUACGGAGGGCGCAAGCGUUGUUCGGAAUUACUGGGCGUAAAGCGCGUGUAGGCGGUCUGGCAAGUCGGUUGUGAAAUCCCCGGGCUCAACCCGGGAACUGCAUCCGAAACUUCCAGGCUAGAGUUUCGGAGAGGAAGGCAGAAUUCCCAAUGUAGGGGUGAAAUCCGUAGAUAUUGGGAGGAAUACCAGUGGCGAAGGCGGCCUUCUGGACGAUGACUGACGCUGAGACGCGAAAGCGUGGGGAGCAAACAGGAUUAGAUACCCCGGUAGUCC
Molecule: ribosomal RNA, 450 nt
Filed under: uncultured bacterium
Lineage: Bacteria
Description: bacterial SSU rRNA
Rfam family: Bacterial small subunit ribosomal RNA
Source: RNAcentral